RNAcentral lists this ribosomal RNA (1117 nucleotides) under Halobacillus sp. RNAcentral's name for it is "bacterial SSU rRNA". It matches the Rfam family "Bacterial small subunit ribosomal RNA", at positions 164 to 1217 of the family's 1533-position model. The record is from RNAcentral. Lineage: Bacteria; Bacillati; Bacillota; Bacilli; Caryophanales; Bacillaceae.
GAAAAGUUGAAAAGGAUUGGCUUCUUUGCUUAUUCCACUUACAAGAUGGGGCCCCGCGGGCGGCCAUUAGCUUAGGUUGGGUGGAGGUUACCGGCUCUACCCAAGGCGGACCGAUGGGGUAGCCCGACCCUGAGAGAGGUGGAUUCGGCCCCACCUGGGAACUGAGGACCCCGGCCCCAGACUUCCUACGGGAAGGCAGCAGUAGGGAAUUCUUCCCGCACAUGGACGAAAGUCCUGACGGAAGCAACGCCCGGCGUUGAACCGAGUGGAAAGUUCUUUCGGAUCGUAAAGGAUCUUGUUGUUUAGGGAAAGGAACACAGAUACCCUCGCGAAUAAAAACCGGUACCUUGACGGUACCUAACGAGGAAGCCCCGGCUAACUACGUGCCAGCAGCCGCGGUAAUACGUAGGGGGCAAGCGUUGUCCGGAAUUAUUGGGCGUAAAGCGCGCGCAGGCGGUUCCUUAAGUCUGAUGUGAAAGCCCACGGCUCAACCGUGGAGGGUCAUUGGAAACUGGGGAACUUGAGGACAGAAGAGGAGAGUGGAAUUCCACGUGUAGCGGUGAAAUGCGUAGAUAUGUGGAGGAACACCAGUGGCGAAGGCGACUCUCUGGUCUGUUUCUGACGCUGAGGUGCGAAAGCGUGGGUAGCAAACAGGAUUAGAUACCCUGGUAGUCCACGCCGUAAACGAUGAGUGCUAGGUGUUAGGGGGCUUCCACCCCUUAGUGCUGAAGUUAACGCAUUAAGCACUCCGCCUGGGGAGUACGGCCGCAAGGCUGAAACUCAAAGGAAUUGACGGGGGCCCGCACAAGCGGUGGAGCAUGUGGUUUAAUUCGAAGCAACGCGAAAAACCUUACCAGGUCUUGACAUCCUUGGACAAUCCUAGAGAUAGGACUUUCCCUUCGGGGACCAAGUGACAGGGUGGUGCAUGGUUGUCGUCAGCUCGUGUCGUGAGAUGGUUGGGGUUAAGUCCCGCAACGAGCGCAAACCCCUAAUCCUUAGUUUGCCAGCAUUUCAGUUGGGGCACUUCUAAGGUUGACUGCCCGGUGACAAACCGGAAGGAAGGCGGGGGAUGAGCCGUCCAAAUUCAUCCAUUGCCCCCUUAUUGAACCUGGGGCCU